This is a long non-coding RNA of Spodoptera frugiperda (fall armyworm), 1521 nucleotides long. RefSeq lists it as uncharacterized. The transcript is spliced from 2 exons. NCBI's taxonomy places the organism in Eukaryota, Metazoa, Arthropoda, Insecta, Lepidoptera, Noctuidae. The record is from RefSeq and is a predicted model, not a curated record.
UGACUAUUUAUAUUAUAAUAGUUGUUUCUUCUGUCUACUUAAAGCUGUAAUAUGAAUUCUGUAUUGUAUUGUAUUUUGUAUUUGAGUCUGUACCGACUGACCCUUGCCUGUAUUUACUUUUUCGAUUAAAUUGUAUUUUUGUGUGUAUUUCUUUCGUUUUAUUUUGUUUCCUUGUUGGUAAUUUACUGAAGUAAUUUUUCUGUGUGGGUUUACAAUUAUAUACCUAGGUCCCGGGUAGCAUACUUGCAAUUUGUUACUUUACUUUAUCUUGUAAGUACCGUGUAAUAGGAUAUUUUUAAUACUGCACUCAGUAUAUUACUGCCUUAUAUUUUUUUUGGAAUUUCCAUUUUGAAUAUAGGCCUCGUAACAUUCACUUUUGGUCUUUGGGGCUUUCUCUACCUAAAAGCAUCCUUAGUAUGUACCUUCUUAUAUCAAAUGUACCAAUCAGAAAACCAAAAGGCAUCUCAAUAUAAAGGCAACCUUCUUUAUAUUUACUUGGUUAAAAUAUGACAUUACACAUUACCUAUGAUGACCAAAGAUCAUAUAUUUGUCAAAUCUCCACGUGUAGUAUAUCUCAAAAAUAAUCAAAACAAAUUAAAAUUACAAGUGUAUUUAAAUAAUUCAUUACAAAUCGACUUCUUCAAUACAUUCGACAUUUUCGAAAAGUCUGUAAAAGAUCUUUAUGAGAAUAAUACUCAAAAUUGAUGGAACCAAGCUCAAAUUCAGAAGAAAGGAAAAGAAAGAAAUCUAAGAGUGAUCGCAUGUGCUUCAUUACAUUCCUCCCACUACUUAUAAGUCCACUUAUAUCCUGCAUCCCUUGCUGCUAUUGUUGCACAAACUGGGCCAUACCAGAAGAGAUACCAUACGAAAAAGGUAACCCGAACGAGAUAGACACGAAAAUUAAAGAGUAAAAACUAAGCUCAAACAAUUAAACAAGCAGAAAUUUGUAAAAAGUAAGCUUAGUAAAUUCGAGCUUAGUUUUAGUUACCUUAUGUGUUGUAUUAAUCCCUUUCCGUUCUUUCCUUUAAUCCUUGUGCCCAUAGUUGCAUGCUUCCCUGUAAUAUGUCCACGUUGCAUCUCAUGCUGCGAGAACAAUGAUGAUAAGGAUGCUAAUACUUUAAAUGAUGAAAUUAUAUGCAAAUGCCAACCUGUGGCAUAAUUUACAAAUCUAUAAUAUAAAAAUAAGUCGGGUUUCCCUUCCUGACGCUAUAACUCCAGAACGCACGAACAGAAUUCCACGGUUUUGCAUUCGUUGGAAAGAUCUCGGGCUCUGUGAGGUUUAUAGCAAAGAAAAUUCAGGAAACAUUUCAAAAGAAAAGCAGGAAGUCAAGAGAAAUCAUUGGUGGCGAAGCGGAGUUGGCCGAGUUUGCUAGUUAGCUUAUAAAUAAAGUCCACGAUAUAAUCGCUCAUUACACAGAGUUAAGCAUAAAUAUUCCCGAUAUAGUGACUUUCCUACAAGAAACUAUUAAUGAUGUUGCUGAGCUCACGAUUUCAAUGUUUAUUAAAUAUGUUUCAAAUUGA